GAUGAACGCUAGCUACAGGCUUAACACAUGCAAGUCGAGGGGAAACGACAGAGGAAGCUUGCUUCCUUUGGGCGUCGACCGGCGCACGGGUGAGUAACGCGUAUCCAACCUUCCCGCAAGUAAGGGAUAACCCGUAGAAAUGCGGCCUAAUACCUUAUGUUUUCCUUAGAGGGCAUCUGAUGAGGAACAAAGAUCCGUCGCUUGCGGAUGGGGAUGCGUCUGAUUAGUUAGUCGGCGGGGUAACGGCCCACCGAGACGACGAUCAGUAGGGGUUCUGAGAGGAAAGUCCCCCCACAUUGGGAACUGAGACACGGUCCAAACUCCUACGGGAGGCAGCAGUGAGGAAUAUUGGUCAAGUGGGGCGGAAGCCUGAACCAGCC
RNAcentral lists this ribosomal RNA (380 nucleotides) under uncultured bacterium. RNAcentral describes it as "bacterial SSU rRNA". It matches the Rfam family "Bacterial small subunit ribosomal RNA", at positions 28 to 393 of the family's 1533-position model. The record is from RNAcentral.